CUAUGCUAGGUGGGGAGGUAGCGGUGCCCUGUAUCUGCAAUCCGCUAUAGCAGAACUGAAUUCCCAGUAUGAGGUCUGUUUUUGUGGGGACUGUCCCAAGUACGAAGCGUUGAUAGUCGGGUCUUGAGCAACGGGAACUUGUUGAACCCCGUCAGGUCUGGAAGGAAGCAGCGGCAGAUAAGGUUUCUCGUGUGACGCAAGGUAGCCUGGUUUGAGCUAACGACUUGGGCAACGCCCGGAAAGGCUUGUCGAGUUUGGGUGCAUAG
Molecule: signal recognition particle RNA, 266 nt
Filed under: Candidatus Poribacteria bacterium
Lineage: Bacteria; Candidatus Poribacteria
Description: signal recognition particle sRNA large type
Rfam family: Bacterial large signal recognition particle RNA
About the family: The signal recognition particle (SRP) is a universally conserved ribonucleoprotein involved in the co-translational targeting of proteins to membranes.
Source: RNAcentral